UUGUCUUUUCACAUUUAGGGGCUGUAGAGGAGAUGCCUCGUGAAGCUCUCUCUCUCUCUUUCUCUGCAAAUCCCACGUCUGUGUUCAAGUCUUGCUUCGAUUUCUCCAAUCUCAAACCCUAAUUUCAUACAUAGAGAAGAUAGAAUUGAUGGAGUCGAGUCUUCCUUUCAAGAGAAGUAAACUCUGUUAUUGACUGUGGAUGUCUGAGAAACGAGAUUCUCUGAGUUGAAGCGGUUCCUCAAUUAACCACAUGCACCUUCCUCUCUCUCUUUCAUUCCUCAGUCGAUCUGUGCUAUGAAUAUCGGUGGUCGGUUCAUCGCCAGUUCUCAACAGGAAGAGUUUGUUCUGAUCAAUACUGAUGGAGAUGCCAGAAAUUCAUCGAGAACAUCUCCUGUUCGUCUUUAAGUUUCAGAUGACACGUAAUUCUACAAGAACAGCUUGCUAGCUUCUAAGAGUCUGGCCAGAAGACAGCGAUCAUGGUUUGUUCUCUGAUCUUCCAGAGAAAGAUCUGAAGGUCGGAUGGUCGAGGAGAAGACAAUAUAUUAACUAGAGUUUUUCUUGUGGCAGGUGGACAAACGAGCAUCAGGGAGACGAGGAGGAUAUAAACGUCGAUUUGACUGAACAGAAGAAAGCCAAUGACGUCGAUUCCAUCAGAAUCCAUCAAUAUCAUCGGCUUUGAGUUUCAGGUGAAUGUCCAGUGGUGAAAGGAAACAAAUGGUCAUCCACAAAAUGGUUCCAUGUCCACGAGUUCAAGGUUUAGAUUAAGAAAAAAAACUGAAGUGAAGUCGAGAAAAGAAAAGAAUUGAUAGGAAAGGGGAAAACAAGAUUUUAUUGUUUUGAAGUCAAAGUGUAAUUUAAAAUUUGGAUAUUUGAUGUUUGUUGUUUAAAACGUCUUGCUUUAGACUAUAUGAUUAUUAGGUAUUAAUAUGUACAAAAUAAAAUAUUUAGAUAACUGAA
Raphanus sativus (radish) is the source of this 957-nucleotide long non-coding RNA. RefSeq lists it as uncharacterized. NCBI's taxonomy places the organism in Eukaryota, Viridiplantae, Streptophyta, Magnoliopsida, Brassicales, Brassicaceae. The transcript is spliced from 3 exons. The record is from RefSeq and is a predicted model, not a curated record.